This 4487-nucleotide long non-coding RNA is filed under the name Homo sapiens (human). RNAcentral describes it as "HSALNT0007844". Lineage: Eukaryota; Metazoa; Chordata; Mammalia; Primates; Hominidae. The record is from RNAcentral.
UCUAGCUUCCCGGCUGCUUUGUUUACCCAAGCAAGCCUGGGCAAUGGCGGGCGCCCCUCCCCCAGCCUUGCUGCGGCCUUGCAGUUUGAUCUCAGACUGCUGUGCUAGCAAUCAGCGAGACUCCGUGGGCGUAGGACCCUCCUAGCCAGGUGCAAGAUAUAAUCUCGCGGUGCGCCGUUUUUUAAGCCGGUCCGAAAGCGCAAUAUUCGGGUGGGAGAGACCCGAUUUUCCAGUGAGAUGAACCCAGUACCUCAGAUGGAAAUGCAGAAAUCACCCGUCUUCUGCGUCGCUCACGCUGGGAGCUGUAGACCGGAGCUGUUGCUAUUCGGCCAUCUUGGCUCCUCUCCUGCACUGCAAGAAUGGACUAAUACGCUAUGUGAAGACAAAGGGGAUGUCUGCAAGCCAGGACGAGUGCGUCUACCAGAAACUGAGUUCUGCUGGACUUUGAUCUAGGACAUCCAGCCUCCAGAAUGGAAUGUGCCAUAUGUGGAGACCUGCAUGGAAAGGAACUGAGGAUGCUCUCUCACUAAAAGCUAGAAGGAACUGAGGCCCUCAGUCAACAGUCUACAAGACACUGAAUCUUGCCAGCAGCCAAGCAGUGAGCUUGAAAGCAGAUCUAUCAUCAGCUGAACCUUCAGAUGAGACCGCAGCCUAAGCAGAUACCUUGGUUGCAGCCAUGUGAGACAACCUGAAACAGAGGGCACAGCUAAGCCUCAGCCAGGUUCAUGACCCUCUGAGGAAACUGUGAGAAAGCAAAUGUCAUUUUAAGCUAUUUAAUUUUGGAGGUAGUUUAUUACACAACAAUAAAUAACUAUUAUAAUUAUCUUGAGGAUUUAUUUCCUGGGGAGAAUACAUGGAAUUGCAUAUAUAGGUCCUCAUAUGCAGAAUACUGGUACCCUAGAGAUGUUCACCCCAGAGAUGUUUUAGGAACCUGUGAAUAUGUUACAUUAAAUGGCAAAGUUUUCCUGGAUGGUUUAAGUUUAAGAUGGAAAAGUUUUACUGGAUUAUCCAGUGGGUCCAAUCUAGUAACAUGAGUCCUUAAAAAUGGAGAAUAUUUUUUGGCCAUGAUCAGAGAGACAUGUGAUGAUGGAAAAAGUGUCAGAGAUGCAAUGUGAGGGGACUAAAACUGCUGUUGCUGACUUUAAAGAUGGAGAGAGGGGAACCCGAGUCAAGGAAUGCAAAUGGCCUCUGGAAGCUGGAAAAAGCAAGAAAUGGAUUCUCCUUUAGAGCCUGUGGAAUAAAAUGCAGUCAUGCUGACACCUUGAUUUUACCUCAGUGAGACCAAUACUGGAGUAUGACCUUCGGAGCUGAAUAAAAUUAUACGUACACAUCUUAAUUUCUUGGGAUUUGAUUACUUCUUCUGCUUUGAAAUUAGACCAAGUUUAGCCUGCCUUUGCUAUUUUGGCGUAUCUCCAAUUCUUCAUGAUUUUCUCAUUAGAUUCUUAGGGAUUCUGAAAAACACCUUACAGACCAUGUGAGAGGUAACGAGGAGGCUCUCCUGGACUGAACUGUGUCCCCUCCAAAUUCAUAUGUUGAGACCCAAACUUCCAAUGUGACUGUAUUUGGAGCUAGGGCCUUUAAGGAGUAAUUGACAUUAAAUGAGGUCACAGGGUUGGGACUCUAAUUUAAUAGGACUGGUGUCCUUAUGAGAAGAGAAAGAGGCACCAGGCACCAGGCAUGUGAGCCCACAGAGGAAAGGCUAUGAUGUGAAGACAGAGAGAAGGCCAUCACACACAAGCCAUGGAGAGAGGCCUCCCCAGAAACCAACCCCACCGACACCUUGAUCUCGGACUUCCAAGCUUCAGAACUAGUGUUGCCUCCAUAUGAUGCAAAAUAUCCAACCUAGCCCUGACAUGAAAACUUAAUUGAAAGUAUCCAACAGUGGCGCAAAGGCCACAUAAGGACAGUGAGAAGGCAGCCACCUGCAAGCCAGGAAGAAAGGUCUCACCAGAUACCAACCCUGCCAGCAUGUUGAUCUUGGACUUCCAGCCUCCAAAACUGGCCUUCUGCUCACAUGGGCUUCCGUGCACCUGCUUCAGGAGACAGCAACACUUGCGCCCGCACCGCGGCAGGCUCCCAUCACCUGGUGGAUAUGCCGCGCCGAGUCUCAUCACACCUUAGUGAAGGAACACAUGGACCCAUAUGUUAGCGGAUGUAUUUACAUCGUUUUAUACAGAAAGGGGAAAUGGAGUCUUGCUCUGUCACACAUGCUAGAGUCCAGUGGUAUGACCUCAGCUCACUGCAAUCUCUGCCUCCCGGGUUCAAAUGAUUCUUCUGCCUUGACCUCCCUGGCAGCUGGGACUACAGGCCUGCACCACCACGCCUGGCAAAUUUUUUAAUUUUUUUUAGUAGAGAUGGGGUUUCACCAUGUUGGCCAGGCUAGUCUCGAACUCCUGACCUCAAAUGAUCUGCCCGCUUUGGCCUUCCAAAGUUCUGGGAUUAUAGGAGUGAGCCACCAUGCCCAGCCUGUUCUUAAGUCUCCUAGAACAGGGAUUCUGAAACACAAAACUCAUCUGGUGAGAAGAAUGAGAGCAAGAGAGGUUAAAUGGGUCGUUCAAGUUCAUAAAGUACUGACAGAAGAUGACCCUGAACUGUUCUCACUAUAUUAAAAGUCAGACAAGUAUUAUUAUUAUUAUUACUAAUAUAAGUAGCUCCAAUUUAUGUGAUUCUCAUGAUUUGGAGGACCUUACCUAUAUUAGCUUAUUUAAUCUACACAGCAAACCUAGAUGGUAAAUAUUUUCAUUGCCAUUUUACAGAGGAGGAACUGAGGUUCCUGAGGGUUAGGAAACUUGUAACAUGAACUCCAUACAGAUAUACAGAAUGAUAUAAACAAAUAAACAAAUACAUAAAUGUGGAAGAAGUAAAAGCUCUUCCUUGGAGUAAAAGGCCACCUAAUAAAUGAGGCAGGAAUGAUAAAAUUAGAGAAAUCAUUUGCAAACAUCACAGUAUUAAUUGCUUAAAGGAAGAAUUAUAAAUAGAUAAUAAAGCUAGUGGGUGAAACAUUAAUGGGACUAAGAUAUUUAUCUAGCCCCAAAAGUUUUGCUCCAUAAAAAUACUUACUUAGGCUGGGCAUGGUGGUGCACACCUGUAAUUCUAGCACUUUGGGAGGCCGAGGUGGAAGGAUUACUUGAGCUUAAGAGUUCAAUGGCAGCCUGGACAACAUAGUGAGACCGCAUCUCUAAAAAAAAAAUUAGCCAGGUGUGGUAGUGCGUGUAUGUAUUCUCAGCUACUCAGGAGGCUGAGGUAGAAGGGAUCGCUUGAGCCCCAAGUUGAGGCCACAGUGAGCUGAGAUUGCACCACUGCACUCCAGCCUGGGUUACAGAGAGUGAUCCUGUCUCAACAAUAAAAUAAAAUAAAAUGAAAAAAAUAUUUAUUACAAAUGAAAAAAAUGACAUGUUUACACUGGAGAGGCCUACAGGCAUCAUCUUAACCAAUGAUCAAAGUUAAUAUCUACACGAAUAGGACAAAUAAUAUCAUUUCCCUCCUGACCUCAUGCAUGUUUAAAACACAACAUAACUUCUUGGUUAUUUCUGUCAAGAGUGCAUAACCUGAAACUAAUCAUAAGAAACCACCAGAUGACCCCACGAUGAGAGGUAUACUAAAAAAUAACUAAGCUAUUAUUUUAUUUUAUUUAUUUUUUGAGACAGAGUCUUGCUCUGUUGCCCAGGCUGGAGUGCAGUGGCGCAAUCUCAGCUCACUGCAACCUCAGCCUCCUGGGUUCAAGAGAUUCUCCUGCCUCAGCCUCCCAAGUAGCUGGGAUUACAGGCUUCUUUUUGUAUUUUUAGUAGAGAGGGGGUUUCACCAUGUUGGCCAGGCUGGUCUCAAACUCCUGACCUCAGGUGGUCCACCCACCUCGGCCUCCCAGUUUUGGGAUUAUAUGCGUGAGCCACUGCACUCAGCCACCAGACUUUUUUUUUUUUCUUUUUACUUUUUUUGAGACAGCAUCUCCCUCUGUCGCCCAGGCUGGAGUGCAAUGGCACAAUCUUGGCUCACUGCGACCUCCGCCUCCCAGGUUCAAGUGAUUCUCCUGUCUCAGCCUCCUGAGUAGCUGGAACUACAGGCGCCCGCCACCACGCCCGGCCAGUUUUUGUGUUUUUAGUGGAUAUGGGGGUUUCACCAUGUCGGUCAGGCUGGUCUCGAACUCCUCACCUCAGGUGAUCUGCCCGACUCAGCCUCCCAAAGUGCUGGGAUUAUAGAUGUGAGCCAUCGUGCCUGGCCUAUUUUGAAAGCAACAUAUAAUCCAACUUUUUCUUUUGUUAUAAAGAGCAAUAUAGGAACAAGGAGUGAAACACCAAGGCAAUUUGACAGUUAAAUGGUAGAAGUAGAUCAGUGUUAAUUUCCUGAUUUUGUAAUUAUACUGUGGUUAUGUAACAGAAUGUUCUUGUUUUAGAAAGUACACAUUGAAUAAUCAAUGGUCAUCUUGUCUGUAACUUAAUUUCAAAUGUUUCAAUAAAAAUAUGUGUAUGUUUGUGAGUGAUAAAACAAAU